CCAUCCUGGUCAACAUGUUGGACUGCGGCCUUCUAAGCCGUAGGUCACGCGUUCGAAUCGUGUAGGGCGGGCCA
Molecule: transfer RNA, 74 nt
Filed under: Burkholderia ubonensis
Lineage: Bacteria; Pseudomonadati; Pseudomonadota; Betaproteobacteria; Burkholderiales; Burkholderiaceae
Description: tRNA-Arg
Rfam family: tRNA
About the family: Transfer RNA (tRNA) molecules are approximately 80 nucleotides in length. Their secondary structure includes four short double-helical elements and three loops (D, anti-codon, and T loops). Further hydrogen bonds mediate the characteristic L-shaped molecular structure. tRNAs have two regions of fundamental functional importance: the anti-codon, which is responsible for specific mRNA codon recognition, and the 3' end, to which the tRNAs corresponding amino acid is attached (by aminoacyl-tRNA synthetases). tRNAs cope with the degeneracy of the genetic code in two manners: having more than one tRNA (with a specific anti-codon) for a particular amino acid; and 'wobble' base-pairing, i.e. permitting non-standard base-pairing at the 3rd anti-codon position.
Source: RNAcentral